RNAcentral lists this ribosomal RNA (351 nucleotides) under Triticum aestivum (bread wheat). RNAcentral describes it as "partial small subunit ribosomal RNA". Lineage: Eukaryota; Viridiplantae; Streptophyta; Magnoliopsida; Poales; Poaceae. The record is from RNAcentral.
AUGGCGGAGGAACCGUCCGCCAAGCGUCAUCAUGCCGAGACGUCGGACAAGAGCAGCAACCUCGUCGACAUUAACGUCCCCGGCGAGAAGCGCGAGUACACAACAACCCUCAAAAGGGUUGAGCUCCACGGCAACGAGACGCUGGAGAUCGUCUGCACCAGCAUACCAGAAAAGGCCGACGAGGUGAUCGCCAGGCUCUGGAGGAAGCUUGGCGGCAGGACUCGUAGGAUCGUCGGUGUUGGUGUGCACUACACCAACGAAGAUGAACCUCUCCAGAUGGCAGCAGUCCUGCAGUUGUGCGUCGACGAACUCUGCUUGGUGUACCACAUCGCAGCGGCCAAAAAAUGGUGA